AUAUGUCCAUGAGCCAAACAGGCUUAUGGAAAGUUCUUCUACACACAAAAAAAUCAAAGCUCUCCUCUCCCCAUCCCCAACCUCUGCUAGAAAAUUGGCCAUAAUGAAACUGACUUGACAGGUUAAAAGACCCUGUCCUAGAUGCCCAGGAAUCAGGUAGUCACACAUUUUACAGACUUCAUGGCAGCGAUGAGUAAUCUGUGAUGAUACUAAAUAGAGGCAAUAAUAACUAACUCCAUUAAAUGUCAUGCUGAUUGUCUGUUUUUAUAGCACCAAUGGUACUGUUUUAUUUAUUGCCAAUAGACCACAACAUUCACAUCUGUUUUUCCUCAAGGGAACUGUAUUUGCUUUUGGUUGAAGGAUUUAUCUAUUUGAUACUAUCCAGAAUAUUGUUAAGCUAUAAUUUCCUGGGUUAUAUUUUAGAUGGGUUGUCUGCAUGGUGGUAAAAUAAGCUUUUUCCUCUCGCCUACAUCCUUUGGAAGAUCUCCUGAUCAUACAUAACUAGAUAGGGCUUAUUCUUGCUGUCGGAGCUUGGCACCCAGCUCUAGACUGUUUCUUUGAGCAUUACUGCAGAUUGGAGACGUGUGUGAUAGGAGCAGGGCUCAGAAAUAGGGCUUGAGGCUCAAGCAGAAACUGAAGCUCUCAUUCAAAUGAAGGUGCUCUCUCUACCGCAUGAUCGGCAGUGAGGAAAGGAGGAUGAAAAUCCUUCUCAUCACAAAGAGCUUGAAGGAAUCCACGUCCCCAGAUUAGCAACCCUAGAGUUCAUCUGUGCAAGCCGGGAAAUGUGUAAGCUUCCUUGAUCAGCUCCAGGCCUCACAGCACGGGAGCAGUGACCAGUAAGGAAAUGUCACUGUUGUGCUUUCUGUUGGAAAUUGUUAGAAAAUACAGUGAACUGGCCGGGCACAGUGGCUCAUGCCUGUAAUCCCAGCACUUUGAAAGGCUGAGGCAGGCAGAUCAUUUGAGGUCAGGAGUUCGAGACCAGCCUGGCCAACAUGGUGAAACCCCAUCUCUACUAAAAAUACAAAAAUUAGGCAGGCGUGGUAGCAGGUGUCUGUAAUCCCAGCUCCUCGGGAGGCUGAGGCAGAAGAAUCGCUUGAGCCUGGGAGGCAGAGGUUGCAGAAAGCCGAGAUCACGUCACUGCACUCCAGCCUGGGUGACAGAGCGAGACUCUGUCUCAAAAAAAAAAAAAAAAAAAAA
Molecule: long non-coding RNA, 1197 nt
Filed under: Pongo abelii (Sumatran orangutan)
Lineage: Eukaryota; Metazoa; Chordata; Mammalia; Primates; Hominidae
Description: lncRNA (ENSPPYG00000035654.1)
Source: RNAcentral